GACGAACGCUGGCGGCGUGCUUAACACAUGCCAGUCGAACGGAAAGGCCCUGCUUUUGUGGGGUGCUCGAGUGGCGAACGGGUGAGUAACACGUGAGUAACCUGCCCUUGACUUUGGGAUAACUUCAGGAAACUGGGGCUAAUACCGGAUAGGAGCUCCUGCUGCAUGGUGGGGGUUGGAAAGUUUCGGCGGUUGGGGAUGGACUCGCGGCUUAUCAGCUUGUUGGUGGGGUAGUGGCUUACCAAGGCUUUGACGGGUAGCCGGCCUGAGAGGGUGACCGGCCACAUCGGGACUGAGAUGCGGCCCAGACUCCUACGGGAGGCAGGGGUGGGGAAUAUUGCACAAUGGGCGGAAGCCUGAUGCAGCAACGCAGCGUGCGGGAUGACGGCCUUCGGGUUGUAAACCGCUUUCGCCUGUGACGAAGCGUGAGUGACAGUAAUGGGUAAAGAAGCACCGGCUAACUACGUG
RNAcentral lists this ribosomal RNA (468 nucleotides) under uncultured bacterium. Its description in RNAcentral is "partial 16S ribosomal RNA". It matches the Rfam family "Bacterial small subunit ribosomal RNA", at positions 28 to 507 of the family's 1533-position model. The record is from RNAcentral.